RNAcentral lists this ribosomal RNA (466 nucleotides) under uncultured bacterium. RNAcentral describes it as "partial 16S ribosomal RNA". It matches the Rfam family "Bacterial small subunit ribosomal RNA", at positions 28 to 507 of the family's 1533-position model. The record is from RNAcentral.
GACGAACGCUGGCGGCGCGCCUAACACAUGCAAGUCGAACGAGCGAGAGAGAGCCUGCUUUCUCCAGCGAGUGGCGAACGGGUGAGUAACGCGUGAGGAACCUGCCUCAAAGAGGGGGACAACAGUUGGAAACGACUGCUAAUACCGCAUAAGCCCACGACCCGGCAUCGGGUAGAGGGAAAAGGAGCAAUCCGCUUUGAGAUGGCCUCGCGUCCGAUUAGCUAGUUGGUGAGGUAACGGCCCACCAAGGCGACGAUCGGUAGCCGGACUGAGAGGUUGAACGGCCACAUUGGGACUGAGACACGGCCCAGACUCCUACGGGAGGCAGCAGUGGGGAAUAUUGCACAAUGGGGGAAACCCUGAUGCAGCGACGCCGCGUGGAGGAAGAAGGUCUUCGGAUUGUAAACUCCUGUUGUUGAGGAAGAUAAUGACGGUACUCAACAAGGAAGUGACGGCUAACUACGUG